UGUUCGGGUUGUCAUGCCAAUGGCACUGCCCGGUAGCUAAAUGCGGAAGAGAUAAGUGCUGAAAGCAUCUAAGCACGAAACUUGCCCCGAGAUGAGUUCUCCCUGAGACUUAGAGUCUCCUGAAGGAACGUUGAAGACGACGACGUUGAUAGGCCGGGUGUGUAAGUGCAGCGAUGCGUUGAGCUAACCGGUACUAAUGAACCGUGAGGCUUAACCUU
RNAcentral lists this ribosomal RNA (218 nucleotides) under Salmonella enterica. Its description in RNAcentral is "partial 23S ribosomal RNA". It matches the Rfam family "Bacterial large subunit ribosomal RNA", at positions 2713 to 2925 of the family's 2925-position model. The record is from RNAcentral. Lineage: Bacteria; Pseudomonadati; Pseudomonadota; Gammaproteobacteria; Enterobacterales; Enterobacteriaceae. RNAcentral also lists the same sequence under 1 other name.